CCCUUAGAUGUUCUGGGCUACACGCGUGUUACACUGGUAUCUUCAACAAGCAUAAAUAUUCCUUACCCGAUGGGGUCGGGCAAUCUUUUAAAAUGAUAUCGUGAUGGGGAUAGAUCAUUGUAAUUAUUGGUCUUGAACGAGGAAUUCCUAGUAAGGGUAUGUCAUCAACAUGCCCUGAUUACGUCCCUGCCCUUUGUACACACCGCCCGUCGCUCCUACCGAUGAAUGGUCCGGUGAGGAUUUAGGAGGACCGCAGAUCUUGGUGUAAAAGCCAUUCUGUUGUUUUGUCCAAAUUCAUUCAAACCUUAUCAUUUAAAGGAAGGAGAAGUCGUAACA
RNAcentral lists this ribosomal RNA (336 nucleotides) under uncultured eukaryote. RNAcentral's name for it is "partial 18S ribosomal RNA". It matches the Rfam family "Eukaryotic small subunit ribosomal RNA", at positions 1470 to 1796 of the family's 1831-position model. The record is from RNAcentral.